RNAcentral lists this ribosomal RNA (253 nucleotides) under uncultured bacterium. RNAcentral describes it as "partial 16S ribosomal RNA". It matches the Rfam family "Bacterial small subunit ribosomal RNA", at positions 524 to 776 of the family's 1533-position model. The record is from RNAcentral.
AACGUAGGUUCCGAGCGUUAUCCGGAUUUACUGGGCGUAAAGCGUGUUCAGGCGGCUCAGCAAGUCGGGCCUGAAAUCUCUCGGCUCAACCGGGAGAGGCUGUCCGAUACUGCUGGGCUUGAGGGCAGUAGAGGGUGGUGGAAUUCCGGGUGUAGUGGUGAAAUGCGUAGAUAUCCGGAGGAACACCAGUGGCGAAAGCGGCCACCUGGACUGUACCUGACGCUCAAACACGAAAGCUAGGGGAGCGAACGGG